This 1283-nucleotide long non-coding RNA is filed under the name Neodiprion lecontei (redheaded pine sawfly). RNAcentral describes it as "uncharacterized LOC124294993". The record is from RNAcentral. Lineage: Eukaryota; Metazoa; Arthropoda; Insecta; Hymenoptera; Diprionidae.
CUCAGCUCCAGCUGCACUGCAUCUUCUGAACAUAUCCAUGAAAUGUUUGAUGUUGAAACGUGCAUCGUUGAAGAUGAAGAAAAAAUCAUCAACAACACGGCCGUCUCGUCGCAUUUUCUUAUCGUAGUCUCAUCGUAAAAGCGGCACGACUACCAGGACUUCACCGAGUCUACCAUGGAUACGUCUUCGACCUCCGGAAACGGCUGACAUCUGGUCGAUGCGCGAGCAGAGGAGCCCGCGAUGCGGUGAUAUUCAUGCACGAUGUUUAUACACGGCGUCCGUCUUCGGUUCCAUUAACGGCAGGCUUUCGGCGAGGUGAUUCAAGGAUAUAAAAAUCCGCCGUCGCUGGGCAUCGGGAAUACUCCAAGUCUGGGACCCGCAUUCCUAGAGACCGGGACUGGAUCGGAGGGCGAGUCGAAACCUGUCCGGCCUGGCACGAAUCCGUUUCGGGUUCUCCUCGGGUCACUCGUCCAGGAAGAAGAUGAUUCAUUGCGUCUGCGUACCGGCGCCAAAGACCUGCAAGGCUGCAUGUAACGACGAUCGCGUGUGCGGUGUACCUGCAGUUCGAAGCCUCGGACGUGCUCGGGGAAGUUGGUGUUCUGUUACCCCAGGGGUAAACCGGAGACCUCGAAUCGAACAACUUGCGUUACCAACUAGCCCAACACACCGGGAACGAUUCCCUGCAGCUGUCGGCCGAACCGGGAGAAAAAUCCCCGGUGUUUCAGAACGGCAGGGGUUCUAUGCGCACACAUUCCUACCUACGAGGCGCCGAUCUGUUGCAGCGAAGUAUGGAAAUCAGGAUCGUUGGAUUGGGUAUAAAAGCUGAAAGAAGGCAGGAAAAAUCUGUACGCACUGAAUAUCCGCUUGGUGGUAGACGGCGAGCCAGCAGCAGGAUCUGUAAAUCAUCGCUUUAUAACUUCGGUGUAAUUUUACUGUGAACAUUUUACUCGGCGUGCUGGAUUGAAUUUAUAAUUGCUCGAAUUUAUGACGUCCACCGAGAAGACACAGGGGGCCACUUACUGCUUGAGCAACAUCGGUUGAUCGAGGGUAAUUAUUAAUUUCAAACGAUCGAAACGUACAGCCCAAUAAUUUGUAAUCUCUACAUCCUGCGUUGAGUACUAUAAAUCCGUGAUGAAAUUUUCGGCACAGUUCGAUGAAAUUUUUCCGAAGUGUAUUACACGUGCGGUAGAGUAAUUUCAAUUGGGAUUUCGGAGAUACGGCACCGCUCACGUCUCUCCGCCUUUAUCGAAACUUUUUAUCGAAGCCGAGGGGAAUGAUUCGAA